GGGUGGAGUCUCCCUGCAAUCAAAGUUAAAGGUGAAGUCCGGCUCCCGUAGGAGUCCGGACGGGGCUUACCAGCAGUUGACGCUGAGGACGGAGCCCGGCUCCCGUAGGAGUCCGGGCGGAGUCCACUUGAGGUCGAAGUUGUCGGCAGAGUCCGGCUCCCGUAGGAGUCCGGACGAAGUCUGUCUGCAGCCGUUGGAGUCGAGGACGAAGCUCGGCUCCCGUAGGAGUCC
This 231-nucleotide long non-coding RNA is filed under the name Elaeis guineensis (African oil palm). Its description in RNAcentral is "long non-coding RNA (EGUI_LNC070749)". Lineage: Eukaryota; Viridiplantae; Streptophyta; Magnoliopsida; Arecales; Arecaceae. The record is from RNAcentral.